CCCCCGCGUGUACAGACGCUUCCUCUGCUGACGCGCCCCGGGCACUCAGCCCUCAUGGCACCCACCCCUCCACGUGGACAGACGCGCCCUGGGCACUCAGCCCUCAUGGCACCCACCCCUCCACGUGGACAGAUGUACCCUGGGCACUCAGCCCUCAUCAUGGCGUCCACCCCUCCGCGUGGACAGACACGCCCCGGGCACUCAGCCCUCAUCAUGGCGUCCACCCCUCCACGUGGACAGACACGCCCCGGGCACUCAGCCCUCAUCAUGGCGUCCACCCCCCAACGUGGACAGACGCGCCCUGGGCACUCAGCCCUCAUCGUGGUGUCCACCCCCCGUGGACAGACGCACCCCGGGCACUCAGCCCUCAUCAUGGCGUCCACCCCCCACGUGGACAGACGCGCCUCGGGCACUCAGCCGUCAUCACGGCAUCCACCCCCCGCGUGGACAGACGCUUCCUCUGCUGACGCGCCCCGGGCUGUACCCACCACAGUCAGGGGAAACACUUCAUGGUUUCUACUGCUUGCUUUCUUUCUUUCACAAAGUUUUAAGAUUUCAAACUUCAGGGAUUAUGUUUUGCUGGAUAAAAUUUAAGUGUGGAAAUCAGACCCCGGCGCUAAGAGAAGGCCAGGCUAGGACGCCUCACUCUCAUUCCCACCCUGACGGACGUCACUGGCAGUGCGCAGGUGCACGGCCGAGCACGGGCCUGCGCGGACGGGCGGGGCUCACCUUCUCGUGCCACUGCAGGAGCACGGCGCUGCUGUUGUCGGAGGGGCUCUCGAAGCCCUUGUAGAUGUACUUCAUGAGCAGGUCCACGCCGUUCCUGUCCAGGGACUGCACGGCCUUUUCUAUGUCGCCGGCCUUGAAGGAGAUGAGCACCUUCAGCACGAUGCUGCCUGCCCGGUCCUGGGGGAACACACGAGGCAACAGCGCGACUCCUGAGUGUGCGGCUGCACCUGCGCAGGGGGGGCCGUGCCGGGGAGGGGAGCCCGGGCGGAGGCCCGCAGGCGGGAACAGGACAGCGCGGUGUCUCAGGAAAGCAGUCAGGCCCAGAGGGGGCGCGUGCUGCCAGUGUGCCCAGGGCCUACGGCAGAACCGCAGCGGGGAGCCAGAGGGGCGCGGAGAGGAGGCUCAUGCGACCGGCGCCCCCCCCCCCCCCCCC
Molecule: long non-coding RNA, 1162 nt
Filed under: Oryctolagus cuniculus (rabbit)
Lineage: Eukaryota; Metazoa; Chordata; Mammalia; Lagomorpha; Leporidae
Description: lncRNA (ENSOCUG00000032646.1)
Source: RNAcentral